Molecule: long non-coding RNA, 1511 nt
Filed under: Vulpes vulpes (red fox)
Lineage: Eukaryota; Metazoa; Chordata; Mammalia; Carnivora; Canidae
Description: lncRNA (ENSVVUG00000025167.1)
Source: RNAcentral
GACCUUUUAAAAAGGCUCUACCCGUGUAUACUCCUUUUAGAGUAGCUGAAGGAAGUCAUGGAAGCUAGCGAGCCCUUCAAAUUUUUCCCUGUCUGGUUUAAUCCAUGCGCAUGUUUUGCUCCCUAAAAUAGUGAUCCUGACAAUAAUCCUACAGGCAUGGAGCGAUCUGCUUUUUACAGGGCCCUCGCUCCUGCCUUCUAACGCUGCUGGUUUUGUCCCCAUUUUAUAGAUGAUGAGGAACCGAAGCUCAGAGGAGUUGGGGGUCUCGUCCAGAGCCCCGGAGAGUCAGAACCAGAACUAGAACUCAGGCCCCCAGAAUCCAAAAGCUCUUUCUACUACUCUGUUGCUAGGCAACCCUUCUCCCUUUCGAUUCUUGUGCCAAUGCUACUUGUUGCCAUGGUACUGCUGGGACAAGGAGCAGUACAUUGUAAUUAAGCAGCGAGCUAGAAUCUUGGCUCCUUGCAGAAAGGGGUCUUUAUGCCCCAAGUAUGGGUGGCCGGAGAGGGGCAAUUGGAUGGGACUGGUCAGUUAUCAUGUAAGUUUUGUGGGGGGCAGAUGUCUGUCUUCACCUCUAUCCACUUGAAGCCACACGUGCCCAGGGAUGCCUGGGCAGGAGUGCCGUGUUGUCACGAAUCAGCGUCUAAGUUCAGUGUGUGCUUCAGUCUAGGAGGACUAGGGGUGUCCCUGGUCAGCAGCACCAUGCUGGCAUCGGACCUGAGUUCAAAUCCUCCCAUGAGGAAUCGCUUUCGAAUUCUGUUGAGUCUGGAUGGAUUCAAGGGCAUGAAGUUCAGCACAAUCAUCCUCGUAUUUCACUUUGGCUGGAUGGACGCUCAGUUCUUGUCUCCUUCCUGGAGCUCCUAGUCCAGAAUAAGGCAUGGAAAUACCAAGUCAAAGAACAGUCUGGUAAAGACCACACCUGCCCUGCCUCUUUGCAUACACAGGUGAUGAACAUUUAUACUAGAAAUGCUGUGUAGACUAUUUAUCUGCCUAUUUUGGAGGUGGAUCUGAUAUGGUCAUGUGAUCACAGGUACCACCUGUUGGGGAGACAAGACUCAUAAUUAAUCCAUGUUUGGUGGACAAGUGAGAAAAAUGGGGCAUUGUUGAGAGAGGGAACUGAUUAUAGUCCUUAUGCCUCACCCAUCUGGCUGUAUUAAAACACUUGCACGCCCCAACAUAUGGUUACUAGCUUGAGAGGAGGGAGAGGAUUACAAGAUACAAAUGAUAAAUGGACUCCACGGCUUCCCUCUGUGGCCAAUAUGGGAGGAGCCAAAUGUUUAAAUUUUCUUAAAAAUGUUCUUGGAGAAAAGGGUCUUUUACCUUUAGUCCCAAUUUUGUCAUUGGGACAUUUGAGGCUUUUGUCGAACAUGCUGCUUCUUUAUUCCCUUAAACAAGAAUCAUAAAUAUUUCUAUCCAUUUGCCUUUUUUCUUUUUUUUUCCUUAAAGAUUAUUUUUAGGUAAUCUCUACACCCAAUGUGGGGCUUGAACUCACAACCCUGAGAUGAAGAGUCACU